Molecule: ribosomal RNA, 502 nt
Filed under: uncultured bacterium
Lineage: Bacteria
Description: partial 16S ribosomal RNA
Rfam family: Bacterial small subunit ribosomal RNA
Source: RNAcentral
AGCGAACGCUGGCGGCGUGCCUAACACAUGCAAGUCGAACGAGAAAGGGAGCAAUCCCCUGUACAGUGGCUUACGGGUGAGUGACACGUAGGUAAUCUACCCCAGAAUCUGAAAUAACCGACCGAAAGGCUGGCCAAUACUGGAUAGCGCGACGGAUUCUGUACUUGGGUUUUUCGUGAAAGAGAGCCUGUAUGCAGGCCCUCGUUCUUGGAUGAGCCUGCGGCCCAUCAGCUAGUUGGGUAGGUAAAAGCUUACCAAGGCAAAGACGGGUAGCUGGACUGAGAGGACGAUCAGCCAAACUGGAACUGAAGCAAGGGCCAGGACCCUUAGGGGGGGAGCAGUGAGGAAUCUUGCGCAAAGGGCGAAAGUCUGACGGAGCAACGCCGGGGGGGGGAAUGAGGGCCUCGGGUUGUAAAGAUUUGUCGAGUGGGACGAAAAUGAUUGGAAUGCACAGCUGCAGGAACUGACGGUACCACUAAAGAAAGCACCGGCUAACUCCGUG